CCUACGGGGGCAGCAGUGGGGAAUAUUGGACAAUGGGCGAAAGCCUGAUCCAGCCAUGCCGCGUGUGUGAAGAAGGCCUUCGGGUUGUAAAGCACUUUCAGUGGGGAAGAAAGCCUUGGGGCUAAUACCCUCGAGGAAGGACAUCACCCACAGAAGAAGCACCGGCUAACUCCGUGCCAGCAGCCGCGGUAAUACGGAGGGUGCGAGCGUUAAUCGGAAUUACUGGGCGUAAAGCGCGCGUAGGCGGUCUGAUAAGCCGGUUGUGAAAGCCCCGGGCUCAACCUGGGAACGGCAUCCGGAACUGUCAGGCUAGAGUGCAGGAGAGGAAGGUAGAAUUCCCGGUGUAGCGGUGAAAUGCGUAGAGAUCGGGAGGAAUACCAGUGGCGAAGGCGGCCUUCUGGACUGACACUGACGCUGAGGUGCGAAAGCGUGGGUAGCAAACAGGAUUAGAUACCCGAAGUAGUC
Molecule: ribosomal RNA, 465 nt
Filed under: Vreelandella stevensii
Lineage: Bacteria; Pseudomonadati; Pseudomonadota; Gammaproteobacteria; Oceanospirillales; Halomonadaceae
Description: partial 16S ribosomal RNA
Rfam family: Bacterial small subunit ribosomal RNA
Source: RNAcentral